CACGUAGGGUGCAAGCGUUGUCCGGAAUUACUGGGCGUAAAGGGCUCGUAGGCGGCCCACUAAGUCGGAUGUGAAAUCCCCAGGCUUAACCUGGGAACUGCAUCCGAUACUGGAUGGCUUGAAUCCGGGAGAGGGAUGCAGAAUUCCAGGUGUAGCGGUGAAAUGCGUAGAUAUCUGGAGGAAUACCGGUGGCGAAGGCGGCAGCCUGGACCGGCAGUGACGCUGAUGAGCGAAAGCUAGGGGAGCAAACGGG
RNAcentral lists this ribosomal RNA (253 nucleotides) under uncultured bacterium. RNAcentral describes it as "partial 16S ribosomal RNA". It matches the Rfam family "Bacterial small subunit ribosomal RNA", at positions 524 to 776 of the family's 1533-position model. The record is from RNAcentral.